RNAcentral lists this transfer RNA (65 nucleotides) under Neilupotamon sinense. RNAcentral's name for it is "tRNA-Asp". Lineage: Eukaryota; Metazoa; Arthropoda; Malacostraca; Decapoda; Potamidae. The record is from RNAcentral.
CAGAAGUUAGUUAAAUUUAUAACAUAUAUUUGUCAUAUCUAAAUUGCCUUUUCAGGCACUUCUUU